RNAcentral lists this ribosomal RNA (300 nucleotides) under uncultured microorganism. RNAcentral's name for it is "partial 16S ribosomal RNA". The record is from RNAcentral.
GUAGUUUGAUCGUGGCUCAGGGUGGUAGGAACAUUAGAGGCUGGGGCCGCCUGAGGCUUUGGCAUGAGGCUGGGGGGCUGAGGAGAGAUGUGAAACAGUUACACCGGGGGUGAAGGUGUCAGAGAGGCCUCUCAGUUUCAGCUUGAGUCGGCAGGCAGGCCAUGGUGGUGGCUGGUGGGGAAGUCACCACUGCCCCAGGCCAGAGAGGAUUGCCUCUGAGCCAGGGAUGUCCAGGGCUGCCUCUGAGAGAGGUACAGGUGGGAGUGGACACGGGCAGGUCAACCACUGUCCCUGCCCCAU